Molecule: ribosomal RNA, 236 nt
Filed under: uncultured bacterium
Lineage: Bacteria
Description: partial 16S ribosomal RNA
Rfam family: Bacterial small subunit ribosomal RNA
Source: RNAcentral
GAUCCUGGCUCAGGAUGAACGCUGGCGGCGUGCUUAACACAUGCAAGUCGAACGAAGCGCUUAAGAUUGAUUCUUCGGAUGAAGUCUUUUGUGACUGAGUGGCGGACGGGUGAGUAACGCGUGGGUAACCUGCCUCACACAGGGGGAUAACAGUUAGAAAUGACUGCUAAUACCGCAUAACCCGAUAGGAUCGCAUGAUCCAGACGGAAAAGAUUUAUCUGUGUGAGAUGGACCCG